GGGGACAAAGUGACAGGUGGUGCAUGGUUGUCGUCAGCUCGUGUCGUGAGAUGUUGGGUUAAGUCCCGCAACGAGCGCAACCCUUGAUUUUAGUUGCCAGCAUUUAGUUGGGCACUCUAAAGUGACUGCCGGUGCAAGCCGGAGGAAGGUGGGGAUGACGUCAAAUCAUCAUGCCCCUUAUGACCUGGGCUACACACGUGCUACAAUGGAUAGUACAAAGGGUCGCGAAGCCGCGAGGUGGAGCUAAUCCCAUAAAACUAUUCUCAGUUCGGAUUGUAGGCUGCAACUCGCCUACAUGAAGCCGGAAUCGCUAGUAAUCGUGGAUCAGCAUGCCACGGUGAAUACGUUCCCGGGCCUUGUACACACCGCCCGUCACACCACGAGAGUUUGUAACACCCGAAGUCGGUAGGGUAACCUUUAUGGAGCCAGCCGCCGAAGGUGGGACAGAUAAUUGGGGUGAAGUCGUAACAAGGUAGCCGUAUCGGAAGGUGCGGCUGGAUCACCUCCUUU
Molecule: ribosomal RNA, 510 nt
Filed under: Listeria monocytogenes
Lineage: Bacteria; Bacillati; Bacillota; Bacilli; Caryophanales; Listeriaceae
Description: bacterial SSU rRNA
Rfam family: Bacterial small subunit ribosomal RNA
Source: RNAcentral